This 208-nucleotide long non-coding RNA is filed under the name Pan troglodytes (chimpanzee). RNAcentral's name for it is "long non-coding RNA NONPTRT000480". The record is from RNAcentral. Lineage: Eukaryota; Metazoa; Chordata; Mammalia; Primates; Hominidae.
GGGGGGAAAGCAAGCUGGAGGACAGGUGAGACAGCAGGACAGGACCGGAGCAGGGCCCCAAGCCCCCGGGCCUGGUGGGGGACGCGCUUCUUCCCACACUGUGAGCCUCAGCAGCUCCAGCCAGCGGACCCGACGGCUGAGAGGUGAGUGUACCCCACUUUUGUCUCCUGGCUCGGGGUUCACUAGGCUCGAGACUACUGCAGUGUCC